This 253-nucleotide ribosomal RNA is filed under the name uncultured bacterium. RNAcentral's name for it is "partial 16S ribosomal RNA". It matches the Rfam family "Bacterial small subunit ribosomal RNA", at positions 524 to 776 of the family's 1533-position model. The record is from RNAcentral.
GACGGAGGAUGCAAGUGUUAUCCGGAAUCACUGGGCGUAAAGAGCGUGUAGGCGGGUAAAUAAGUUUGAAGUGAAAUCCUAUGGCUCAACCAUUGAACUGCUUUGAAAACUGUUUAUCUAGAAUAUGGGAGAGGUAGAUGGAAUUUCUGGUGUAGGGGUAAAAUCCGUAGAGAUCAGAAGGAAUACCGAUUGCGAAGGCGAUCUACUGGAACAUUAUUGACACUCAGAUGCGAAAGCGUGGGGAGCAAACAGG